Dioscorea cayenensis subsp. rotundata (Guinea yam) is the source of this 782-nucleotide long non-coding RNA. RefSeq lists it as uncharacterized. The transcript is spliced from 5 exons. NCBI's taxonomy places the organism in Eukaryota, Viridiplantae, Streptophyta, Magnoliopsida, Dioscoreales, Dioscoreaceae. The record is from RefSeq and is a predicted model, not a curated record.
UUUUUGUGAUCUUGAAGAAUGCCAAGUUGAAAAACAAGGUCUCACUGCCAGUUUGGAAUUUGGCACCAGAUUUUGAGUCGGAAGCUAUUCUUAAUUGGGAGUUUAUUAAGGCGUCAUGCGUAGUGAAAUAACUGAUUAAACAAAGCAGGAUGCUUGUUGUGAUAUAAUGAUUGAAAAAUCAAGGAGAAGCUAUAUCAAUGGAUCUUGAGACAACAUAAGGAAGGAUCGAGAGUAUCAGUAGCUGAUAUAGUUGUCCAUCUGCAGGAAAAUGGACAUUCUUCUACAUAUACUUGGAUUUUGAGCACAAGCUGGUGGGAAGAUGCAGCUCCUAUUAAUCAAGAUGUUGUUCUUUUUGUGGGAUUCUUAUGCACUUGCUUAUUUGUAGGCUUUAUUUAUAUUAAUAGGUGAUGAUACUCUUAAUAUUCAAUUGUCCCAUGAAAGUUUAUUAAUGGAUGUGUUGGAUGUAUUUUCUUUGCAGUAGUAAUUAAAUAUAGAUGCUGAUUGUGACCUUUUGGAAGCCAAAUUUGAUGUUAUUGAGUAUUAGUCACACACAAUUAGUUUUAAUAGGCUCAAAGAGCUGCAAUCCCUUUAGCAUAUUAUUAGCCAACAUCAAACAUCAGACUGUGAAUUUGUAUGCUUGUACUUUCCUUUCCAUUAGUUUCAAUGCAGUUCAAAGUUAUAUAAAGAAUUCAUAUGACUUCACCAGAGAAACUACUUUGAAUUUUGAAAACUACAUAUAUUUAACCUUCAGGAAUUUUGAUUUUAUUGAUUAUUUGAUUCCA